AUGGUUAGAAGUGUCUUUCUAAAAAAAAGGUUAGAAAUGCUAAUUAAAAGGCUUAAUGAACAACUGAGAUUUAGUAAGGGCAUUGGACACAUCAUCUGGUCUUCGUCUUCCGAGCUCUCCACAUUGACCCUGUCAGUGAUCGCCUGCUCGGGUUCGUUGUCGGCCGCCUUCUCCAUCGUCCGGUCUUCUUCCUCCGAGCUCUCCUCUGGCGAGCUUGGAGGCAGACUCACCUCCGAGUUCUCUGUGCCAGGCCAGCCAGUUUUGAACGAUGCCCGCGAUCUCGUGCCUUCAUGGCACUUUAUGAAGACCCAAAUAAGCUUACAUCGUUUGCAAGUACAUCAAUGA
This 345-nucleotide ribosomal RNA is filed under the name Triticum aestivum (bread wheat). RNAcentral describes it as "partial small subunit ribosomal RNA". The record is from RNAcentral. Lineage: Eukaryota; Viridiplantae; Streptophyta; Magnoliopsida; Poales; Poaceae.